UGCUCUGCUAUAUUGGGGGGGGGGAAGUUUUCGGGAAUUUUAAAGACUUGCUUUGAAGGGAACAUCGUUUUAACAUUUUAGUUUUUCCUCUCCCUGAAAGGUCUUCUCAGGAGGCAGUUGGAAGGGGCAUGUUUGUUGGCAGUGUUUGAGGAAUUGUGGCAAGCAGAAGCGGUCACAGAACAACGGAUAGAAGCGAGUGUACUGCAGAAAGGGGGGAAAAUGGAUUCCAUAGACCACAAACGGCAUGUAUGUCUCUUGAUGACUUGGAAAGGAAAAUAGUGCCUGUGGUGACUUAAAGAUGAAGUUCAUGCCCAAUUAGAAUCAUUCAAAUAAGCACUUACUGAGGAUGCACUACCAAGCAAGC
RNAcentral lists this long non-coding RNA (364 nucleotides) under Sus scrofa (pig). RNAcentral's name for it is "lncRNA (ENSSSCG00070010100.1)". Lineage: Eukaryota; Metazoa; Chordata; Mammalia; Artiodactyla; Suidae. The record is from RNAcentral.